GAUGAACGCUGGCGGCGUGCUUAACACAUGCAAGUCGAACGGUGACGGCGGAGCUUGCUCUGCUGGAUCAGUGGCGAACGGAUGAGUAACACGUAAGCAAUCUUCCCCUGACUCUGGGAUAAGCGCUGGAAACGGCGUCUAAUACUGCAUCCGAGCUGCGACGGCAUCUUCCGCAGCUGGUACGAAUUUCGGUCAGGGAUGAGCUCGCGGCUUCUCAGCUUUUUGGUGCGGUACUGGCUCACCAAGGCGUCGAAGGGUAGCCGGCCUGAGAGGGUGACCGGCCACACUGGGACUGAGACACGGAGCAGACGCCAACGGGAGGCAGCAGUGGGGAAUAUUGCACAAUGGGCGAAAGCCUGAGGCAGCAACGCCGCGUGAGGGACGACGGCCUUCGGGUUGUAAACCUCUUUUAGCAGGGAAGAAGCGAAAGUGACGGUACCGGCAGAAAAAGCGCCGGCUAACUACGUG
Molecule: ribosomal RNA, 468 nt
Filed under: uncultured bacterium
Lineage: Bacteria
Description: partial 16S ribosomal RNA
Rfam family: Bacterial small subunit ribosomal RNA
Source: RNAcentral